This 468-nucleotide ribosomal RNA is filed under the name uncultured bacterium. Its description in RNAcentral is "partial 16S ribosomal RNA". It matches the Rfam family "Bacterial small subunit ribosomal RNA", at positions 28 to 507 of the family's 1533-position model. The record is from RNAcentral.
GAUGAACGCUGGCGGCGUGCUUAACACAUGCAAGUCGAACGGUGAAGGCGGAGCUUGCUCUGCUGGAUCAGUGGCGAACGGGUGAGUAACACGUGAGCAAUCUGCCCCUGACUCUGGGAUAAGCGCUGGAAACGGCGUCUAAUACUGGAUACGAGCUGCGAAGGCAUCUUCAGCAGCUGGAAAGAACUUCGGUCAGGGAUGAGCUCGCGGCCUAUCAGCUUGUUGGUGAGGUAACGGCUCACCCAGGCGUCGACGGGUAGCCGGCCUGAGAGGGUGACCGGCCACACGGGGACUGAGACACGGCCCAGAGUCCUACGGGGGGCAGCAGUGGGGAAUAUUGCACAAUGGGCGAAAGCCUGAUGCAGCAACGCCGCGUGAGGGACGACGGCCUUCGGGUUGUAAACCUCUUUUAGCAGGGAAGAAGCGAAAGUGACGGUACCUGAAGAAAAAGCGCCGGCUAACUACGUG